AAUAGAUACCCCGGUAGUCCACGCCGUAAACGAUGUCGACUUGGAGGUUGUGCCCUUGAGGCGUGGCUUCCGGAGCUAACGCGUUAAGUCGACCGCCUGGGGAGUACGGCCGCAAGGUUAAAACUCAAAUGAAUUGACGGGGGCCCGCACAAGCGGUGGAGCAUGUGGUUUAAUUCGAUGCAACGCGAAGAACCUUACCUACUCUUGACAUCCAGAGAACUUAGCAGAGAUGCUUUGGUGCCUUCGGGAACUCUGAGACAGGUGCUGCAUGGCUGUCGUCAGCUCGUGUUGUGAAAUGUUGGGUUAAGUCCCGCAACGAGCGCAACCCUUAUCCUUUGUUGCCAGCGGUUCGGCCGGGAACUCAAAGGAGACUGCCAGUGAUAAACUGGAGGAAGGUGGGGAUGACGUCAAGUCAUCAUGGCCCUUACGAGUAGGGCUACACACGUGCUACAAUGGCAUAUACAAAGAGAAGCGAACCUCGCGAGAGCAAGCGGACCUCAUAAAGUAUGUCGUAGUCCGGA
RNAcentral lists this ribosomal RNA (521 nucleotides) under uncultured bacterium. RNAcentral describes it as "bacterial SSU rRNA". It matches the Rfam family "Bacterial small subunit ribosomal RNA", at positions 777 to 1297 of the family's 1533-position model. The record is from RNAcentral.